RNAcentral lists this long non-coding RNA (1702 nucleotides) under Homo sapiens (human). Its description in RNAcentral is "HSALNT0361373". Lineage: Eukaryota; Metazoa; Chordata; Mammalia; Primates; Hominidae. The record is from RNAcentral.
CAGCCGCAGUCACAGCCUCAGCCGCAGCGGCCGUGCUACCUAGGUGAUAGCGGAGCGGCUGGGUAGGAAGCAAUUGUUCUCAAACUUCACUAGCCCCGUCGGCGCGGACGCUUGUCGAGAAUGCAGAUUCCUGGGUACUGCCAGAUACGGUUGGUGAUCUUGUAGGGCUGGAGUGGAAGCCAUGAAUCUGCAUUUUCAUCAUUUCUGGCCCUCUGCCCGGGCUGGGGUGAUUCACGGGGAUUCGUAGUGGCCCCAAAGGAGCACGCAGAACCUCGGCUGCUGUGCAUUUAUCACCUCUUUUGUUCCCGGAGGCCGCACCCCAGGUCCAGUUUACACAGCUGCCAACUCCUUUUCUUGGUUCCCACUGGAAUCUAGGAAGAAAACUCGCCCUUUACUUCUCCGCCCCACACCCGACGACGGAGUGUCUAGAGGUCUGGUCGGCCUUGGCUGUGCGGAGGGCUAGGCCUGACGAGCGGGCGCUGAUGCGGCGCAGACCCCGCCGGACCUCUUGGUCGGCCCGGGGUAGGCUGGGGAGCCGCGGGAACAGGACUGGAUAGGGAAAGCGGCACCGCAGCGUCCACGGGCAAGCUGAAAGUCCGCUUGAUGUCUUUGCAUCACAGUGGCGCCCUCCCCGCAGGAACGCCCGGCCGCCUGCACCGAACGUUUGCCUGCAGGGAACGGCCAACCCGCCCUGAAAUACUCUUUUUGUGGGCUGCAGCUUUCGGGUAUUUUAAGCCAUGAAUUGAGCAUACCACAAAAAAGUUCUCAUUUUGUGUCCUCCCAUCCCAUUCUCCUCACUAACCAAAGGCUAGGAAUUAUCUGUGAAUGUAGGACCACUGGAUUUGCAGUCUUCAUCUGACACUGUGGAGAGUUUCUAGGAAUGAAACAGAUAUAUGGCCUUGGGUCCCCUUUUUUUUUCUUUUUUUUUUUUUUAAUAGAGACGAGCAUCUCACUAUGUUGCCUAGGGUAGUCUUGAACUCCUGGCCUCAAGCAAUCCCCACCCGACUCCGCCUCUCGAAGUGAUGGGAUUACAGGCAUAAACCACCACGCCUGGCCAGAAGGUGCUUUAACACCAAAUCUGAAAAUUGUUCAGAAGAGAAACAUUGAGCAUGAACACCAUCUGUGCGAGUCAUUUACUUAUUGCCCCUCACCUCUAAAUCUACCUUCUGUACUCUUCUUCCCUGUAAUGAUGGGGCUAGUUGUCCUCAAACUGUUUCUCAGACUUCUUUUUAAGCUUGCUUCCUGUUCAGUUCUGCCAAUAGGGGUCACUAGAGAGAGACUGGGAGGCAGAAGGAGAGAAUAUGCUUCCUGUUUUUUCUGUUCUUGUUAAUGUUGCUUACAGGACCAGCAAUGCUUCUUCACCUAGAGACACUUCUCCCAGCAGUGGCAGUGCCACUUCAGCUUCUUUCAGCACUACUGGAAUCAGCCUCAGUGAUUCCCCCUGUACCCGCUCAGAGAUUAUCCACAGCAGCCAGAUGGUUCUACCUUCCACAAAGAUUGUGGUUGCAAUUCUGGGCUUCUAAGUUCUGGUUACUUCAUAUUUUUCCUUUUGUUCCUCCAGCCCUAGAGGUGGUAGCUGCUUUCUGAAGUUAUUAUUUCUAGAUGACUUUUGGUUUUUCAGCCUUUGUAUUUUGCUUUUCAGCCCUCUAAUGCCUGUAUAACCAAUUUCCCUGUAAUAAAUAAAUUUCCUCCAUUGAAAUAC